RNAcentral lists this ribosomal RNA (468 nucleotides) under uncultured bacterium. Its description in RNAcentral is "partial 16S ribosomal RNA". It matches the Rfam family "Bacterial small subunit ribosomal RNA", at positions 28 to 507 of the family's 1533-position model. The record is from RNAcentral.
GACGAACGCUGGCGGCGUGCUUAACACAUGCAAGUCGAACGGAAAGGCCCUGCUUUUGUGGGGUGCUCGAGUGGCGAACGGGUGAGUAACACGUGAGUAACCUGCCCUUGACUUUGGGAUAACUUCAGGAAACUGGGGCUAAUACCGGAUAGGAGCUCCUGCUGCAUGGUGGGGGUUGGAAAGUUUCGGCGGUUGGGGAUGGACUCGCGGCUUAUCAGCUUGUUGGUGGGGUAGUGGCUUACCAAGGCUUUGACGGGUAGCCGGCCUGAGAGGGUGACCGGCCACAUUGGGACUGAGAUACGACCCAGACUCCUACCGGAGGCAGCAGUGUAGAAUAUUACACAAUGGGCGGAAGCCUGAUGCAGCAACGCCGCGUGCGGGAUGACGGCCUUCGGGUUGUAAACCGCUUUCGCCUGUGACGAAGCGUGAGUGACGGUAAUGGGUAAAGAAGCACCGGCUAACUACGUG